This 392-nucleotide ribosomal RNA is filed under the name uncultured bacterium. RNAcentral's name for it is "partial 16S ribosomal RNA". It matches the Rfam family "Bacterial small subunit ribosomal RNA", at positions 523 to 917 of the family's 1533-position model. The record is from RNAcentral.
AUACGGAGGAUGCGAGCGUUAUCCGGAUUUAUUGGGUUUAAAGGGUGCGUAGGCUGUGCGUUAAGUCAGGGGUGAAAUGCCGUCGCUCAACGACGGAGCUGCCCUUGAUACUGGCGUGCUGGAGUACGGAUGCCGUUGGAGGAAUGAGUGGUGUAGCGGUGAAAUGCUUAGAUAUCACUCAGAACACCGAUUGCGAAGGCAUCUGACGAAUCCGUCACUGACGCUGAGGCACGAAAGCGUGGGGAUAGAACAGGAUUAGAUACCCUGGUAUUCCACGCCGUAAACGAUGAUGACUAACCGUCGGCGAUAGACAGCCGGUGGCCAAGCGAAAGCGAUAAGUCAUCCACCUGGGGAGUACGUCGGCAACGAUGAAACUCAAAGGAAUUGGCGGG